UCGUUAGCGACGGACGGGUGAGUAACACGUGGGCGACCUGCCCUGUAGACGGGGAUAACACCGAGAAAUCGGUGCUAAUACCGGAUAACACGAAAUGUCGCAUGACGUUUCGUUGAAAGACGGCGCAAGCUGUCGCUACAGGAUGGGCCCGCGGCGCAUUAGCUAGUUGGUGAGGUAACGGCUCACCAAGGCGACGAUGCGUAGCCGACCUGAGAGGGUGAUCGGCGACACUGGGACUGAGACACGGCCCACACUCCUACGGGAGGCAGCAGUAGGGAAUCUUCCGCAAUGGACGAAAGUCUGACGGAGCAACGCCGCGUGAGCGAAGAAGGCCUUCGGGUCGUAAAGCUCUGUUGUUAGGGAAGAACAAGUAACGUACUAACUGGCGUUACUGUGACGGUACCUAACGAGAAAGCCACGGCUAACUACGUGCCAGCAGCCGCGGUAAUACGUAGGUGGCAAGCGUUGUCCGGAAUUAUUGGGCGUAGAGCGCGCGCAGGCGGUUCCUUAAGUCUGAUGUGAAAGCCCACGGCUCAGCCGUGGAGGGUCAUUGGAAACUGGGGGACUUGAGUGCAGAAGAGGAGAGCGGAAUUCCACGUGUAGCGGUGAAAUGCGUAGAGAUGUGGAGGAACACCAGUGGCGAAUGCGGCUCUCUGGUCUGUAACUGACGCUGAGGCGCGAAAGCGUGGGGAGCACACAGGAUUAGAUACCCUGGUAGUCCACGCCGUAAACGAUGAGUGCUUAGUGUUAGAGGGUAUCCACCCUUUAGUGCUGUAGCUAACGCAUUAAGCACUCCGCCUGGGGAGUACGCUCGCUAGAGUGUAACU
Molecule: ribosomal RNA, 827 nt
Filed under: Anoxybacillus flavithermus subsp. yunnanensis
Lineage: Bacteria; Bacillati; Bacillota; Bacilli; Caryophanales; Anoxybacillaceae
Description: bacterial SSU rRNA
Rfam family: Bacterial small subunit ribosomal RNA
Source: RNAcentral